AUUGAACGCUGGCGGCAUGCCUUACACAUGCAAGUCGAACGGCAGCACGGGUGCUUGCACCUGGUGGCGAGUGGCGAACGGGUGAGUAAUACAUCGGAACGUACCUUAUCGUGGGGGAUAACGCAGCGAAAGCUGUGCUAAUACCGCAUACGCCCUGAGGGGGAAAGCGGGGGAUCGCAAGACCUCGCGCGAUUAGAGCGGCCGAUGCCUGAUUAGCUAGUUGGUGGGGUAAAAGCCCACCAAGGCGACGAUCAGUAGCUGGUCUGAGAGGACGAUCAGCCACACUGGGACAGAGACAAGGCCCAGACUCCUACGGGAGGCAGAAGUGGGGAAUUUUGGACAAUGGGGGCAACCCUGAUCCAGCAAUGCCGCGUGAGUGAAGAAGGCCUUCGGGUUGUAAAGCUCUUUUGUCAGGGAAGGAACACCGGCUCUAACACAGUCCGGGAAUGACGGUACCUGAAGAAUAAGCACCGGCUAACUACGUGCCAGCCGCCGCCGUAA
RNAcentral lists this ribosomal RNA (501 nucleotides) under uncultured bacterium. RNAcentral's name for it is "partial 16S ribosomal RNA". It matches the Rfam family "Bacterial small subunit ribosomal RNA", at positions 29 to 523 of the family's 1533-position model. The record is from RNAcentral.